CCUANGGGGGGCAGCAGUAAGGAAUAUUGCGCAAUGGGCGAAAGCCUGACGCAGCGACGCCGCGUGGGGGAUGAAGGUCUUCGGAUUGUAAACCCCUUUCGGGAGGGAAGAUGGAAUGGGGUAACCCAUUCGGACGGUACCUCCAGAAGCAGCCACGGCUAACUUCGUGCCAGCAGCCGCGGUAAUACGAAGGUGGCAAGCGUUAUUCGGAUUUACUGGGCGUACAGGGAGCGUAGGCGGUUUGGUAAGCCCUCUGUGAAAUCUUCAGGCUUAACCUGGAAAAGUCGGAGGGGACUGCUGGGCUAGAGGACGGGAGAGGAGCGCGGAAUUCCCGGUGUAGCGGUGAAAUGCGUAGAGAUCGGGAGGAAGGCCGGUGGCGAAGGCGGCGCUCUGGAACGUUUCUGACGCUGAGGCUCGAAAGCGUGGGGAGCAAACAGGAUUAGAUACCCCGNUANUC
RNAcentral lists this ribosomal RNA (457 nucleotides) under uncultured bacterium. Its description in RNAcentral is "bacterial SSU rRNA". It matches the Rfam family "Bacterial small subunit ribosomal RNA", at positions 338 to 795 of the family's 1533-position model. The record is from RNAcentral.